RNAcentral lists this transfer RNA (72 nucleotides) under Salmo salar (Atlantic salmon). It matches the Rfam family "tRNA". From Rfam's summary of the family: Transfer RNA (tRNA) molecules are approximately 80 nucleotides in length. Their secondary structure includes four short double-helical elements and three loops (D, anti-codon, and T loops). Further hydrogen bonds mediate the characteristic L-shaped molecular structure. tRNAs have two regions of fundamental functional importance: the anti-codon, which is responsible for specific mRNA codon recognition, and the 3' end, to which the tRNAs corresponding amino acid is attached (by aminoacyl-tRNA synthetases). tRNAs cope with the degeneracy of the genetic code in two manners: having more than one tRNA (with a specific anti-codon) for a particular amino acid; and 'wobble' base-pairing, i.e. permitting non-standard base-pairing at the 3rd anti-codon position. The record is from Rfam by way of RNAcentral. Lineage: Eukaryota; Metazoa; Chordata; Actinopteri; Salmoniformes; Salmonidae.
CCCCCUGUAGCUCAGUUGGCAGAGCAUGGUGUUUGCAACGCCAGGGUUGUGGGUUCGAUUCCCACGGGGGGC